This 198-nucleotide ribosomal RNA is filed under the name Halomonas mongoliensis. RNAcentral's name for it is "partial 23S ribosomal RNA". It matches the Rfam family "Bacterial large subunit ribosomal RNA", at positions 2733 to 2925 of the family's 2925-position model. Lineage: Bacteria; Pseudomonadati; Pseudomonadota; Gammaproteobacteria; Oceanospirillales; Halomonadaceae. The record is from RNAcentral.
UGGCAUUGCCGGGUAGCUAUGUGCGGACAGGAUAACCGCUGAAAGCAUCUAAGCGGGAAGCCCCCUUCAAGAUGAGACUUCCCUGAGGCCUCGAGCCUCCUGAAGGGCCCAGCGAGACCAGCUGGUUGAUAGGUCGGAUGUGGAAGCGCUGCAAGGCGUUGAGCUAACCGAUACUAAUGGCCCGUGAGGCUUGACCAU